AACGAACGCUGGCGGCAGGCCUAACACAUGCAAGUCGAACGCCCGUAGCAAUACGGGAGUGGCAGACGGGUGAGUAACGCGUGGGAACGUGCCCUUCGGUUCGGAAUAACUCAGGGAAACUUGAGCUAAUACCGGAUACGUCCGUAAGGAGAAAGAUUUAUCGCCGAAGGAUCGGCCCGCGUCGGAUUAGCUAGUUGGUGAGGUAAUGGCUCACCAAGGCGACGAUCCGUAGCUGGUCNGAGAGGAUGAUCAGCCACAC
Molecule: ribosomal RNA, 259 nt
Filed under: uncultured bacterium
Lineage: Bacteria
Description: partial 16S ribosomal RNA
Rfam family: Bacterial small subunit ribosomal RNA
Source: RNAcentral